CACACGACAGACGCCGAACGGACAACACCUUCCUUGUCCCUCCAAGGCUCCAACAACAUGUACAAUCAAGAAUUUCAGCACAAAGUGAACAUAAUUGCACAAGGCUUGCACAAAGGCAAGCAACAACACGAGUAGCGAAAGCUCUAACUACUAUACUAUACAUACAACCAUCAUAUCAUAUUGAUUACCUUUUAAUCAAAUACAAGCACUAUUACAACCAUUCUUUUCCAUACAUUGUUUACAUCACAUUAUCUUUCAACCCAAAAUAAUGAUUACAACUUUUCUCACUUAUAUUCAACAUACAAAA
RNAcentral lists this long non-coding RNA (307 nucleotides) under Ananas comosus (pineapple). RNAcentral's name for it is "long non-coding RNA (ACOM_LNC041611)". Lineage: Eukaryota; Viridiplantae; Streptophyta; Magnoliopsida; Poales; Bromeliaceae. The record is from RNAcentral.